GUAAAGACUUCUACAUAAGAGUGUUCCUGUGUGCAUGUUACACCUGCAGAGCAUGGGGUCAGCUCUUACCAAAUGGGUCAUGUUUGCGCAGCACCAGUUUGUCUCUGAGACGGUUCCUCUUUGUGUUGAAGAAGUACCCUGUCCCUGCAGCGCUCAUCAUCUGCACCAGGACGGUCCUGAAAGGAGACAACAUGAGGAGAAUCACAGCAGCGCCGGCGGCAGAAGAUGUCUUCAGAUCCAUUUCUCAUUGAGGGCAGAGAGGAAAGUGGGAAAACAGUGAGUGCAGGGAAGGACAAGCUGCAAGAAGCCACAGGUUGGAUGAAAACCUGCACCCCCUCCUCCUGGGAUUAUGGCCUCUGUGCACAGGGCAUGCAACUCAACCACUGCACUAAACCAGCGCCCCUUAAAGAAGAGUUUUAAGUAAAAUAAAGGGGUGAUUCAAAAGAUGUUUCUCAGUCAUCUGACUUUAUUUCUAAUUUAUUGCUCCGUCCUCUUUUCAGACCCAGGAGUAAAGAUGUACAUGGAGAUAUGAAGCAAAAGGAUAAAAAGGUCAGAUAUAAAGGAAGAAGUGGGAAUAUAGAGAUGACAAGAACGACAUUAAACUCACUGGUACAGCUGAUGGAGCAUUUUCACAAGUCAAUAAAAACUGUACUCUCUCUGGUCAUUGUGGCUAAUAUAAAGAGACUCCAGUCAAACAACACUGGACAGUCAUUUGAC
Notolabrus celidotus (New Zealand spotty) is the source of this 717-nucleotide long non-coding RNA. RefSeq lists it as uncharacterized. The record is from RefSeq and is a predicted model, not a curated record. NCBI's taxonomy places the organism in Eukaryota, Metazoa, Chordata, Actinopteri, Labriformes, Labridae. The transcript has 3 exons.